Peromyscus californicus insignis is the source of this 505-nucleotide long non-coding RNA. RefSeq lists it as uncharacterized. The transcript is spliced from 3 exons. NCBI's taxonomy places the organism in Eukaryota, Metazoa, Chordata, Mammalia, Rodentia, Cricetidae. The record is from RefSeq and is a predicted model, not a curated record.
UUCAGCUGACCAGCAGUAUGAAAAUUUACUUCUUCUGCCAUGAAGCAACCUGUUGCCCCAGGAUAUGUUUGAAAGGAGCCGACAUCCUUGUACCACAGCAGCAUGUAGCUAACUCUAAGCUCCAAGAGGGCAGGGACUGGCUGCCCUGUUUUUCAGUCUGCAGAUCUAGAGCCUGGAAGAACUCCUGGAUCCUGGAAGGCGCUCAGCAGCACUCAGGAAGUAUGUAUUGCUGUGGAUGGCUUCUCAAUGACAGAAAGCAAACUUCCUAAGAUUUUUGUCCUUCGAGAAACUCUACAGCUUUUCCCAGAGGGGCAGUUCUGCUCUCCAGAAGACACCUGCUGUGAAGAGCCAAAAACAGCUGUGCAGGCCACAGAGGAAGCUGGCUCUCACUCAGUAAGGAACCAAACCAAAACAAGACCUCGCCUGCAGUUGGAUGGCAAAGUUCCCAGAUGGGCAGCUUGAAAUAAGGAGGUGAUGUGAGGUGUCCGAUAUAAAAGAAAAUAAA